RNAcentral lists this ribosomal RNA (906 nucleotides) under Robbauera albescens. RNAcentral describes it as "LSU rRNA". It matches the Rfam family "Eukaryotic large subunit ribosomal RNA", at positions 70 to 965 of the family's 3401-position model. Lineage: Eukaryota; Fungi; Basidiomycota; Exobasidiomycetes; Robbauerales; Robbaueraceae. The record is from RNAcentral.
GGGGGUUCUGCUCACUAACGGCGAGUGAAGCGGGAAGAGCUCAAAUUUGAAAGCUGGCGCCUUCGGUGUCCGCAUUGUAAUCUAGAGAGGUGUUUUCCGCGCCGGACCGCGUACAAGUUCCUUGGAACAGGACGUCAUAGAGGGUGAGAAUCCCGUACUUGACGCGGAUGCCCGGUGCUUUGUGAUACACCCUCCACGAGUCGAGUUGUUUGGGAAUGCAGCUCAAAAUGGGUGGUAAAUUCCAUCUAAAGCUAAAUAUUGGGGAGAGACCGAUAGCGAACAAGUACCGUGAGGGAAAGAUGAAAAGCACUUUGGAAAGAGAGUUAAACAGUACGUGAAAUUGUCGAAAGGGAAGCGCUUGAAGUCAGACAUGCUUGCUAGGACUCAGCCUUGCUUUUGCUUGGUGCAUUUCCUGGUGAGCAGGCCAGCAUCGGUUUUGUCCGCCGGAUAAGGGUAGGAGGAACGUGGCACCUCCGGGUGUGUUAUAGCCUCCUACUGGAUACGGCGGAUGGGACCGAGGAACGCAGUGUGCCCUUGUGGCGGGCCUUCGGGUACCUUCGCACUUAGGAUGCUGGCGUAAUGGCUUUAAGCGACCCGUCUUGAAACACGGACCAAGGAGUCUAACAUAUUUGCGAGUAUUUGGGUGGCAAACCCGGAUGCGCAAUGAAAGUGAAUGCAGGUGGGAUCCGCAAGGAGCACCAUCGACCGAUCCGGAUUUUCUAUGAUGGAUUUGAGUAAGAGCACAUAUGUUGGGACCCGAAAGAUGGUGAACUAUGCCUGAAUAGGGCGAAGCCAGAGGAAACUCUGGUGGAGGCUCGUAGCGAUUCUGACGUGCAAAUCGAUCGUCAAAUUUGGGUAUAGGGGCGAAAGACUAAUCGAACCAUCUAGUAGCUGGUUCCUGCCGAU